Molecule: unclassified non-coding RNA, 229 nt
Filed under: Hevea brasiliensis (rubber tree)
Lineage: Eukaryota; Viridiplantae; Streptophyta; Magnoliopsida; Malpighiales; Euphorbiaceae
Source: RNAcentral
GGAACAGAAGACUUACUAUACCAACACUCGCACCCAAAUAAUUGAUGACUGAGCAGAGCCUUGGCAACGCUUAUGAACCCAUGCACGCACACAUCCAUAACCGAUAUGGGAAUCCGAAGGCUCAACCUCACUGAGCACCCCCAAUGGGCACACCCACUAACUCGCAAACCUCAACCAUUAGGCCACACUGGGAACUCGCCUCACCCCUCAGGUUUUAGCUUUUUCUUUC